RNAcentral lists this ribosomal RNA (405 nucleotides) under uncultured bacterium. Its description in RNAcentral is "bacterial SSU rRNA". It matches the Rfam family "Bacterial small subunit ribosomal RNA", at positions 355 to 775 of the family's 1533-position model. The record is from RNAcentral.
UGAGGAAUUUUCCGCAAUGGACGCAAGUCUGACGGAGCAACGCCGCGUGCAGGACGACGGUCUUCGGAUCGUAAACUGCUUUUCUCAGGGACGAGUAGGGACGGUACCUGAGGAAGAAGCCCCGGCUAACUACGUGCCAGCAGCCGCGGUAAUACGUAGGGGGCGAGCGUUGUCCGGAGUUACUGGGCGUAAAGCGCCCGCAGGCGGUCGCGUCAGUUUGGGGUGACAGCUCCCUGGCUUAACCGGGAGAGGACCUCGAAGACGGCGCGACUGGAGGGCCAGAGAGGGACAUGGAACUUCGGGUGGAGCGGUGAAAUGCGUAGAGAUCCGGAAGAACACCAAAGGCGAAGGCAGUGUCCUGGCUGGCACCUGACGCUCGGGGGCGAAAGCGAGGGGAGCGAACGG